Molecule: ribosomal RNA, 253 nt
Filed under: uncultured bacterium
Lineage: Bacteria
Description: partial 16S ribosomal RNA
Rfam family: Bacterial small subunit ribosomal RNA
Source: RNAcentral
UACGGAGGGUGCAAGCGUUAUCCGGAUUCACUGGGUUUAAAGGGUGCGUAGGUGGGUUGGUAAGUCAGUGGUGAAAUCCCCGAGCUUAACUUGGGAACUGCCAUUGAUACUAUCAGUCUUGAAUACCGUGGAGGUCAGCGGAAUAUGUCAUGUAGCGGUGAAAUGCUUAGAUAUGGCAUAGAACACCAAUUGCGAAGGCAGCUGGCUACUCGGAUAUUGACACUGAGGCACGAAAGCGUGGGGAGCAAACAGG